Molecule: ribosomal RNA, 465 nt
Filed under: Vreelandella stevensii
Lineage: Bacteria; Pseudomonadati; Pseudomonadota; Gammaproteobacteria; Oceanospirillales; Halomonadaceae
Description: partial 16S ribosomal RNA
Rfam family: Bacterial small subunit ribosomal RNA
Source: RNAcentral
CCUACGGGUAGCAGCAGUGGGGAAUAUUGGACAAUGGGCGAAAGCCUGAUCCAGCCAUGCCGCGUGUGUGAAGAAGGCCUUCGGGUUGUAAAGCACUUUCAGUGGGGAAGAAAGCCUUGGGGCUAAUACCCUCGAGGAAGGACAUCACCCACAGAAGAAGCACCGGCUAACUCCGUGCCAGCAGCCGCGGUAAUACGGAGGGUGCGAGCGUUAAUCGGAAGUACUGGGCGUAAAGCGCGCGUAGGCGGUCUGAUAAGCCGGUUGUGAAAGCCCCGGGCUCAACCUGGGAACGGCAUCCGGACCUGUCAGGCUAGAGUGCAGGAGAGGAAGGUAGAAUUCCCGGUGUAGCGGUGAAAUGCGUAGAGAUCGGGAGGAAUACCAGUGGCGAAGGCGGCCUUCUGGACUGACACUGACGCUGAGGUGCGAAAGCGUGGGUAGCAAACAGGAUUAGAUACCCUAGUAGUC